ACGGUCGUAAAUUUACAUUGCUCACGGAUAAUCAGCCUAUCAAAACAAUGCUUGGAUCAAAAGCAAAUUUACCUAUCCUAACAGCAUCACGUUUACAGAGAUGGGCAGGCAAGGAUUUAGCUCACGCAGAUGCAUUGUCCAGACUACUAAGUAAAGAUAUUGUAUGGCGCAUACGUAACUUUGCAUCCAGAGUACCUGUCGGUACGAGAGGUUGGUAAAAGCCAGUCCUUCCGUAUCCACCGCAUCGACCACUGGUUGUAUCUUGGUUAUAUAGUAUUGUAAAUAUAUCGAAUCUGUUAGUCUGGGCGAGUUAUCCGAGCAAUCCAGUUGGGUCAAGUUUAUCACCCUGAAUGAAUAAACGUAAAGGCCUAUGAAUUGGUAUUAUAUAAUCCUGAAGAUGACAGAAACUAUAUAAUCCAACUAACUUCUACGGAUUAUGCAAAGGCGUACCAAUGUACCUUUCUUUCAGAAAAUUUAACACAAUUUUCAUUUUUUAGAUGAAUCUUUUGCAGCGUCCUUAUUAUUCCAUGCACAAUGCAGUAACAAUAUGGCCGAUAGAACAGAAACUUCACAAGCCAUUUCUAAAGACCACGGCAACACCAAAACGAACGCGACGGAUAAUGAAAUUUCAAGUAAAGUUUGGACCAAAGACAAUGUUAAUCAAGUUAUGUAAGGAACACAGUGAAGAAUUUCAAUCCAAGUUAAAAAAAGUAGUGUGACAAAAAAUUUCUACGGAAUUAUCAAACAGAGCAGGAUUGCUAUCAGUGCCCAGCAAUGCGACACACAAUGGAAAGGGUUAACAGUUAUGUAUAAAGGUGUGAGAGAUCAUAAUAAUACAAGCGGAAAUAAUGCAAAACACUACGGGAAUAUUACGAUGUGUUAAAUGAGAUUUUACAGUCCAAACCAGAAAUUACCCAAGUAGCAACAUGCAGUGUGCGAGAAGGGCUAGUAAAUGCAGCAAAUGCAGGCUUAUCUGACAGAAAUGCAGCACCAUCUCCCACUUCAAAAAGGUCACUUUCGUCAACACCAGAAAAUGAAACAUUCAUGCAACGACGAAAGCGC
Long non-coding RNA from Photinus pyralis (common eastern firefly), 1062 nucleotides. RefSeq lists it as uncharacterized. The record is from RefSeq and is a predicted model, not a curated record. The transcript is spliced from 4 exons. Lineage: Eukaryota; Metazoa; Arthropoda; Insecta; Coleoptera; Lampyridae.